AACGAACGCUGGCGGCAUGCCUAACACAUGCAAGUCGAACGAGACCUUCGGGUCUAGUGGCGCACGGGUGCGUAACGCGUGGGAACCUGCCCUUAGGUUCGGAAUAACUCCCCGAAAGGGGUGCUAAUACCGGAUAAUGUCUUCGGACCAAAGAUUUAUCGCCUUUGGAUGGGCCCGCGUUGGUUUAGCUAGUUGGUAGGGUAAAAGCCUACCAAGGCGACGAUCCAUAGCUGGUCUGAGAGGAUGAUCAGCCACACUGGGACUGAGACACGGCCCAGACUACUACGGGAGGCAGCAGUGGGGGAUAUUGGACAAUGGGCGAAAGCAUGAUCCAGCAAUGCCGCGUGAGUGAUGAAGGCCUUAGGGUUGUAAAGCUCUUUUACCCGGGAUGAUAAUGACAGUACCGGGAGAAUAAGCUCCGGCUAACUCCGUG
Molecule: ribosomal RNA, 433 nt
Filed under: uncultured bacterium
Lineage: Bacteria
Description: partial 16S ribosomal RNA
Rfam family: Bacterial small subunit ribosomal RNA
Source: RNAcentral